This is a non-coding RNA of Pelobates cultripes (western spadefoot toad), 230 nucleotides long. NCBI's taxonomy places the organism in Eukaryota, Metazoa, Chordata, Amphibia, Anura, Pelobatidae. The record is from the annotation of a GenBank genome assembly.
CGAAAAGACACUACAGUUCUUUGUUCCCUUCCCAUUUUACUGUGGAGAUGAUCUACCCACAACAGAACAAUGCUCAUUAAUCUUCUUUGCUACCUAGCAGAACAAGGAUGUAAAGCUUCACGUCCCAAGCUGCAAUAUUGCCAAUCUACUGUUAUCUUCCUUGGCCAUUGUCUGUCUCAGGGAACCAGACAUCUCACUCGUGACCGAGUUAGAGCAGUACUGGACAUUCC